This 216-nucleotide ribosomal RNA is filed under the name Glomeromycotina sp. RNAcentral's name for it is "partial small subunit ribosomal RNA". The stretch from base 40 to 216 matches the Rfam family "Eukaryotic small subunit ribosomal RNA", at positions 686 to 864 of the family's 1831-position model. The record is from RNAcentral. Lineage: Eukaryota; Fungi; Glomeromycota.
GGGUCAGUAGGUUGGUCGUGCCACCGGUACGUACUGGUCUCACUGAUUCCUCCUUCCUGAAGAACCGUAGUGCCAUUAAUUUGGUGUUGCGGGGAAACAGGACUGUUACUUUGAAAAAAUUAGAGUGUUUAAAGCAAGCUGACGCUUGAAUACAUUAGCAUGGAAUAAUGAAAUAGGACGAUCGAUCCUAUUUUGUUGGUUUCUAGGAUUGACGUA